AGCGAACGCUGGCGGCAGGCUUAACACAUGCAAGUCGAGCGGGCGUAGCAAUACGUCAGCGGCAGACGGGUGAGUAACGCGUGGGAACGUACCUUUUGGUUCGGAACAACACAGGGAAACUUGUGCUAAUACCGGAUAAGCCCUUACGGGGAAAGAUUUAUCGCCGAAAGAUCGGCCCGCGUCUGAUUAGCUAGUUGGUGAGGUAACGGCUCACCAAGGCGACGAUCAGUAGCUGGUCUGAGAGGAUGAUCAGCCACAUUGGGACUGAGACACGGCCCAAACUCCUACGGGAGGCAGCAGUGGGGAAUAUUGGACAAUGGGCGCAAGCCUGAUCCAGCCAUGCCGCGUGAGUGAUGAAGGCCCUAGGGUUGUAAAGCUCUUUUGUGCGGGAAGAUAGUGACGGUACCGCAA
This 411-nucleotide ribosomal RNA is filed under the name Bradyrhizobiaceae bacterium Ellin7065. RNAcentral describes it as "bacterial SSU rRNA". It matches the Rfam family "Bacterial small subunit ribosomal RNA", at positions 29 to 483 of the family's 1533-position model. Lineage: Bacteria; Pseudomonadati; Pseudomonadota; Alphaproteobacteria; Hyphomicrobiales; Nitrobacteraceae. The record is from RNAcentral.